GCCACCGUAGCUCAGUUGGUAGAGCAGUUCAUUCGUAACGAACAGGUCGCUGGUUCGAACCCAGUCGGUGGCU
This 73-nucleotide transfer RNA is filed under the name Phycisphaera mikurensis. RNAcentral's name for it is "tRNA-Thr". It matches the Rfam family "tRNA". Rfam says of the family: Transfer RNA (tRNA) molecules are approximately 80 nucleotides in length. Their secondary structure includes four short double-helical elements and three loops (D, anti-codon, and T loops). The record is from RNAcentral. RNAcentral also lists the same sequence under 1 other name. Lineage: Bacteria; Pseudomonadati; Planctomycetota; Phycisphaerae; Phycisphaerales; Phycisphaeraceae.